RNAcentral lists this ribosomal RNA (376 nucleotides) under Salmonella enterica. Its description in RNAcentral is "bacterial SSU rRNA". It matches the Rfam family "Bacterial small subunit ribosomal RNA", at positions 1 to 375 of the family's 1533-position model. RNAcentral also lists the same sequence under 1 other name. Lineage: Bacteria; Pseudomonadati; Pseudomonadota; Gammaproteobacteria; Enterobacterales; Enterobacteriaceae. The record is from RNAcentral.
AAAUUGAAGAGUUUGAUCAUGGCUCAGAUUGAACGCUGGCGGCAGGCCUAACACAUGCAAGUCGAACGGUAGCACAGAGAGCUUGCUCUCGGGUGACGAGUGGCGGACGGGUGAGUAAUGUCUGGGAAACUGCCUGAUGGAGGGGGAUAACUACUGGAAACGGUGGCUAAUACCGCAUAACGUCGCAAGACCAAAGAGGGGGACCUUCGGGCCUCUUGCCAUCAGAUGUGCCCAGAUGGGAUUAGCUGGUUGGUGAGGUAACGGCUCACCAAGGCGACGAUCCCUAGCUGGUCUGAGAGGAUGACCAGCCACACUGGAACUGAGACACGGUCCAGACUCCUACGGGAGGCAGCAGUGGGGAAUAUUGCACAAUGGG